GGCGAGAUGGCCGAGCGGUCUAAGGCGCCAGACUAAGGAACUUCCGACAUCUGGUCCGAAAGGGCGUGGGUUCGAAUCCCACUCUCGUCA
Non-coding RNA from Trametes maxima, 90 nucleotides. The record is from the annotation of a GenBank genome assembly. Lineage: Eukaryota; Fungi; Basidiomycota; Agaricomycetes; Polyporales; Polyporaceae.